RNAcentral lists this small RNA (1089 nucleotides) under Pan troglodytes (chimpanzee). RNAcentral's name for it is "retained intron". The record is from RNAcentral. Lineage: Eukaryota; Metazoa; Chordata; Mammalia; Primates; Hominidae.
AGAGCCUUGGCCCUCCCUGGGAGUCUGGUCGGCGGGCUGUGGGGUCCCAAAAUCGUGACCCCGGCCCCUCUCCCCUCCUCCCCCACCAUGUCCCAUGUCAGGAUCAGUUCGAGGUGCUCGAGCGCCACACGCAGUGGGGGCUGGACCUGUUGGACAGAUAUGUAAAGUUCGUGAAAGAACGCACCGAAGUGGAACAGGCUUACGCCAAACAACUGCGGAGCCUGGUGAAAAAAUAUCUGCCCAAGAGACCUGCCAAGGAUGAUCCUGAGUCCAAAUUCAGCCAGCAACAGUCCUUCGUACAGAUUCUCCAGGAGGUGAAUGACUUUGCAGGCCAGCGGGAGCUGGUGGCUGAGAACCUCAGUGUCCGUGUAUGUCUUGAGCUGACCAAGUACUCACAAGAGAUGAAACAGGAGAGGAAGAUGGUGAGGAGCCCCCCGAUUCAGGUUUUACAAAGGGCUUCUGCUGGAACCCUGGCGAGCCUUAUCACUCUUCUUUCUGUAGCACUUCCAAGAAGGGCGGCGGGCCCAGCAGCAGCUGGAAAAUGGCUUUAAACAGCUGGAGAAUGUGAGUUUGCAGAGGUAGCAGUGACUGUGGCCCGGAGGCACAGGGGCAGGGUUGCGGAUCCGGAGUCAGGGAGCUGCCCUCUUUGUCAGACCUGGACCUUCCCUCCCCCAUAGGCUUCCAGUACUCCCUUGUCCCCUACUUACUGGAUGACAUCCCAAUAAUCCCUGAAACCUUGGUUUCCCACCCUGCUGUCUUUGGGAUGGUGGCUCCCUCACUCCGGUUCUGUCCCCUACACAGAGUAAGCGUAAAUUUGAGCGGGACUGCCGGGAGGCAGAGAAGGCAGCCCAGACUGCUGAACGGCUAGACCAGGAUAUCAACGCCACCAAGGCUGAUGUGGAGAAGGCCAAGCAGCAAGCCCACCUUCGGAGUCAUAUGGCCGAAGAAAGCAAAAACGAAUAUGCAGCUCAACUCCAGCGCUUCAACCGAGACCAAGCCCACUUCUAUUUUUCACAGAUGCCCCAGAUAUUCGAUGUGAGUGCUCCCAGUUCUCAGACCUACCUUCCUGAAAGCCUCCAAAUGUUAGCC